GGGUCAGUAGGUUGGUCGUGCCACCGGUACGUACUGGUCUCACUGAUUCCUCCUCCCUGAAGAACCGUAAUGCCAUUAAUUUGGUGUUGCGGGGAAACAGGACUGUUGCUUUGAAAAAAUUAGAGUGUUUAAAGCAAGCUAACGCUUGAAUACAUUAGCAUGGAAUAAUGAAAUAGGACGAUCGAUCCUAUUUUGUUGGUUUCUAGGAUUGACGUA
Molecule: ribosomal RNA, 216 nt
Filed under: Glomeromycotina sp.
Lineage: Eukaryota; Fungi; Glomeromycota
Description: partial small subunit ribosomal RNA
Rfam family: Eukaryotic small subunit ribosomal RNA (bases 75-216)
Source: RNAcentral